Rhopalosiphum maidis (corn leaf aphid) is the source of this 7413-nucleotide long non-coding RNA. RefSeq lists it as uncharacterized. The record is from RefSeq and is a predicted model, not a curated record. Lineage: Eukaryota; Metazoa; Arthropoda; Insecta; Hemiptera; Aphididae. The transcript has 37 exons.
UUUUUUUUAGAGCGCUGUACAGCUGAACACAUGACGCAUGGUGACACACGAAUAACAUUUCUAACACUUGGGAAAUUAACAACAUCCUACGUUUAAAAUGGACUAGAAGAUGGUGAUAAUUUUAAUAGAUUUAUGCAAUAUUGAAGUACUGCAGAUCAAACAAGGCAUGCUGAUGCACGAAUUAACAUUUCUGUCACUUGGGAAUGUCACAACAUCGUACGUUGAAAAUGGACUAGAAGAUACUGAUAAUAAUAACGGUUUUAUUCAAUAGCGCUGUACAGCUGAACACAUGACGCAUGGUGACACACGAAUAACAUUUCUAACACUUGGGAAAUUAACAACAUCCUACGUUGAAAAUGGACUAGAAGAUGAUUGAAGUACUGCAGAUCAAACAAGGCAUGCUGAUGCACGAAUUAACAUUUCUGUCACUUGGGAAAGUCACAACAUCCUACGUUGAAAAUGGACUAGAAGAUACUGAUAAUAAUAACGGUUUUAUUCAAUAGCGCUGUACAGCUGAACACAUGACGCAUGGUGACACACGAAUAACAUUUCUAACACUUGGGAAAUUAACAACAUCCUACGUUGAAAAUGGACUAGAAGAUGGUGAUAAUUUUAAUAGAUUUAUGCAAUAUUGAAGUAUUGCAGAUCAAACAAGGCAUGCUGAUGCACGAAUUAACAUUUCUGUCACUUGGGAAAGUCACAACAUCCUACGUUGAAAAUGGACUAGAAGAUACUGAUAAUAAUAACGGUUUUAUUCAAUAGCGCUGUACAGCUGAACACAUGACGCAUGGUGACACACGAAUAACAUUUCUAACACUUGGGAAAUUAACAACAUCCUACGUUGAAAAUGGACUAGAAGAUGGUGAUAAUUUUAAUAGAUUUAUGCAAUAUUGAACUAUUGCAGAUCAAACAAGGCAUGCUGAUGCACGAAUUAACAUUUCUGUCACUUGGGAAAGUCACAACAUCCUACGUUGAAAAUGGACUAGAAGAUACUGAUAAUAAUAACGGUUUUAUUCAAUAGCGCUGUACAGCUGAACACAUGACGCAUGGUGACACACGAAUAACAUUUCUAACACUUGGGAAAUUAACAACAUCCUACGUUGAAAAUGGACUAGAAGAUGGUGAUAAUUUUAAUAGAUUUAUGCAAUAUUGAACUAUUGCAGAUCAAACAAGGCAUGCUGAUGCACGAAUUAACAUUUCUGUCACUUGGGAAAGUCACAACAUCCUACGUUGAAAAUGGACUAGAAGAUACUGAUAAUAAUAACGGUUUUAUUCAAUAGCGCUGUACAGCUGAACACAUGACGCAUGGUGACACACGAAUAACAUUUCUAACACUUGGGAAAUUAACAACAUCCUACGUUGAAAAUGGACUAGAAGAUGGUGAUAAUUUUAAUAGAUUUAUGCAAUGUUCGUGUAAUGGGUAUUGAUUGUAAAUGAUAGUAAAUUAAUAAGAGUGUAUCAAUUAAAAUUUGUUAAUGAUCUGAAUAAAGAAAUGGUAAACACCUCACAAUUGUAAUCUUCAUUCUUAAAAUUUGCCUUAGCUGUAAAAAUCUUUUCAAUAUUACUCCGUUUAAUUCAUGAUUAAUUUUUAAUUUAAUCAUUACCCAAAGUUAUGUAAUUUAAACUGUUUAGUUUUAAUAGAUAUAUACAAAUUGUUUUAUUCAUUUCCAAUUCGAGAGUAUCAUUUGCAGAUCAGAGUUAUAUUUUAAGAAUGGUUUAGCCAUACUAUGUUAAAUAACAGCAAUUUUAAGUUGUGUUCAUGUGUAUUCUAUGGUUUCCCUUAUUUGACAUUCAUAUUCUACAAAACAUUCAAAUUGAUUAAAUUCAUUUUAUCUUUUAUGGCUUAUCAAAACGAUUAUCUCUUAUCAUCUGUUAUAAGUUUAUAUUUCAUAUCAUUUUGCAGUUUUACGUUCGUGUUUGUAUUAAAGUUUCAACUGCAAAUUGUUUUCGUGUAUUUUGUAAUAUUAAUGAGGUUUAUCUGUUAGUUUUUGUUGGAUUGUUUCAAUUUAUGAAAUUGUCAGUGUUCUGCAUGUAUUAGUUGUUAUAUUAAGUUUUUCGUUGUUCUCAUGAUUGAACUAUUGCAGAUCAAACAAGGCAUGCUGAUGCACGAAUUAACAUUUCUGUCACUUGGGAAAGUCACAACAUCCUACGUUGAAAAUGGACUAGAAGAUACUGAUAAUAAUAACGGUUUUAUUCAAUAGCGCUGUACAGCUGAACACAUGACGCAUGGUGACACACGAAUAACAUUUCUAACACUUGGGAAAUUAACAACAUCCUACGUUGAAAAUGGACUAGAAGAUGGUGAUAAUUUUAAUAGAUUUAUGCAAUAUUGAAGUAUUGCAGAUCAAACAAGGCAUGCUGAUGCACGAAUUAACAUUUCUGUCACUUGGGAAAGUCACAACAUCCUACGUUGAAAAUGGACUAGAAGAUACUGAUAAUAAUAACGGUUUUAUUCAAUAGCGCUGUACAGCUGAACACAUGACGCAUGGUGACACACGAAUAACAUUUCUAACACUUGGGAAAUUAACAACAUCCUACGUUGAAAAUGGACUAGAAGAUGGUGAUAAUUUUAAUAGAUUUAUGCAAUAUUGAACUAUUGCAGAUCAAACAAGGCAUGCUGAUGCACGAAUUAACAUUUCUGUCACUUGGGAAAGUCACAACAUCCUACGUUGAAAAUGGACUAGAAGAUACUGAUAAUAAUAACGGUUUUAUUCAAUAGCGCUGUACAGCUGAACACAUGACGCAUGGUGACACACGAAUAACAUUUCUAACACUUGGGAAAUUAACAACAUCCUACGUUGAAAAUGGACUAGAAGAUGGUGAUAAUUUUAAUAGAUUUAUGCAAUAUUGAACUAUUGCAGAUCAAACAAGGCAUGCUGAUGCACGAAUUAACAUUUCUGUCACUUGGGAAAGUCACAACAUCCUACGUUGAAAAUGGACUAGAAGAUACUGAUAAUAAUAACGGUUUUAUUCAAUAGCGCUGUACAGCUGAACACAUGACGCAUGGUGACACACGAAUAACAUUUCUAACACUUGGGAAAUUAACAACAUCCUACGUUGAAAAUGGACUAGAAGAUGGUGAUAAUUUUAAUAGAUUUAUGCAAUAUUGAACUAUUGCAGAUCAAACAAGGCAUGCUGAUGCACGAAUUAACAUUUCUGUCACUUGGGAAAGUCACAACAUCCUACGUUGAAAAUGGACUAGAAGAUACUGAUAAUAAUAACGGUUUUAUUCAAUAGCGCUGUACAGCUGAACACAUGACGCAUGGUGACACACGAAUAACAUUUCUAACACUUGGGAAAUUAACAACAUCCUACGUUGAAAAUGGACUAGAAGAUGGUGAUAAUUUUAAUAGAUUUAUGCAAUGUUCGUGUAAUGGGUAUUGAUUGUAAAUGAUAGUAAAUUAAUAAGAGUGUAUCAAUUAAAAUUUGUUAAUGAUCUGAAUAAAGAAAUGGUAAACACCUCACAAUUGUAAUCUUCAUUCUUAAAAUUUGCCUUAGCUGUAAAAAUCUUUUCAAUAUUACUCCGUUUAAUUCAUGAUUAAUUUUUAAUUUAAUCAUUACCCAAAGUUAUGUAAUUUAAACUGUUUAGUUUUAAUAGAUAUAUACAAAUUGUUUUAUUCAUUUCCAAUUCGAGAGUAUCAUUUGCAGAUCAGAGUUAUAUUUUAAGAAUGGUUUAGCCAUACUAUGUUAAAUAACAGCAAUUUUAAGUUGUGUUCAUGUGUAUUCUAUGGUUUCCCUUAUUUGACAUUCAUAUUCUACAAAACAUUCAAAUUGAUUAAAUUCAUUUUAUCUUUUAUGGCUUAUCAAAACGAUUAUCUCUUAUCAUCUGUUAUAAGUUUAUAUUUCAUAUCAUUUUGCAGUUUUACGUUCGUGUUUGUAUUAAAGUUUCAACUGCAAAUUGUUUUCGUGUAUUUUGUAAUAUUAAUGAGGUUUAUCUGUUAGUUUUUGUUGGAUUGUUUCAAUUUAUGAAAUUGUCAGUGUUCUGCAUGUAUUAGUUGUUAUAUUAAGAUUUUCGUUGUUCUCAUGAUUGAAGUAUUGCAGAUCAAACAAGGCAUGCUGAUGCACGAAUUAACAUUUCUGUCACUUGGGAAAGUCACAACAUCCUACGUUGAAAAUGGACUAGAAGAUACUGAUAAUAAUAACGGUUUUAUUCAAUAGCGCUGUACAGCUGAACACAUGACGCAUGGUGACACACGAAUAACAUUUCUAACACUUGGGAAAUUAACAACAUCCUACGUUGAAAAUGGACUAGAAGAUGGUGAUAAUUUUAAUAGAUUUAUGCAAUGUUCGUGUAAUGGGUAUUGAUUGUAAAUGAUAGUAAAUUAAUAAGAGUGUAUCAAUUAAAAUUUGUUAAUGAUCUGAAUAAAGAAAUGGUAAACACCUCACAAUUGUAAUCUUCAUUCUUAAAAUUUGCCUUAGCUGUAAAAAUCUUUUCAAUAUUACUCCGUUUAAUUCAUGAUUAAUUUUUAAUUUAAUCAUUACCCAAAGUUAUGUAAUUUAAACUGUUUAGUUUUAAUAGAUAUAUACAAAUUGUUUUAUUCAUUUCCAAUUCGAGAGUAUCAUUUGCAGAUCAGAGUUAUAUUUUAAGAAUGGUUUAGCCAUACUAUGUUAAAUAACAGCAAUUUUAAGUUGUGUUCAUGUGUAUUCUAUGGUUUCCCUUAUUUGACAUUCAUAUUCUACAAAACAUUCAAAUUGAUUAAAUUCAUUUUAUCUUUUAUGGCUUAUCAAAACGAUUAUCUCUUAUCAUCUGUUAUAAGUUUAUAUUUCAUAUCAUUUUGCAGUUUUACGUUCGUGUUUGUAUUAAAGUUUCAACUGCAAAUUGUUUUCGUGUAUUUUGUAAUAUUAAUGAGGUUUAUCUGUUAGUUUUUGUUGGAUUGUUUCAAUUUAUGAAAUUGUCAGUGUUCUGCAUGUAUUAGUUGUUAUAUUAAGAUUUUCGUUGUUCUCAUGAUUGAAGUAUUGCAGAUCAAACAAGGCAUGCUGAUGCACGAAUUAACAUUUCUGUCACUUGGGAAAGUCACAACAUCCUACGUUCAAAAUGGACUAGAAGAUACUGAUAAUAAUAACGGUUUUAUUCAAUAGCGCUGUACAGCUGAACACAUGACGCAUGGUGACACACGAAUAACAUUUCUAACACUUGGGAAAUUAACAACAUCCUACGUUGAAAAUGGACUAGAAGAUGGUGAUAAUUUUAAUAGAUUUAUGCAAUGUUCGUGUAAUGGGUAUUGAUUGUAAAUGAUAGUAAAUUAAUAAGAGUGUAUCAAUUAAAAUUUGUUAAUGAUCUGAAUAAAGAAAUGGUAAACACCUCACAAUUGUAAUCUUCAUUCUUAAAAUUUGCCUUAGCUGUAAAAAUCUUUUCAAUAUUACUCCGUUUAAUUCAUGAUUAAUUUUUAAUUUAAUCAUUACCCAAAGUUAUGUAAUUUAAACUGUUUAGUUUUAAUAGAUAUAUACAAAUUGUUUUAUUCAUUUCCAAUUCGAGAGUAUCAUUUGCAGAUCAGAGUUAUAUUUUAAGAAUGGUUUAGCCAUACUAUGUUAAAUAACAGCAAUUUUAAGUUGUGUUCAUGUGUAUUCUAUGGUUUCCCUUAUUUGACAUUCAUAUUCUACAAAACAUUCAAAUUGAUUAAAUUCAUUUUAUCUUUUAUGGCUUAUCAAAACGAUUAUCUCUUAUCAUCUGUUAUAAGUUUAUAUUUCAUAUCAUUUUGCAGUUUUACGUUCGUGUUUGUAUUAAAGUUUCAACUGCAAAUUGUUUUCGUGUAUUUUGUAAUAUUAAUGAGGUUUAUCUGUUAGUUUUUGUUGGAUUGUUUCAAUUUAUGAAAUUGUCAGUGUUCUGCAUGUAUUAGUUGUUAUAUUAAGAUUUUCGUUGUUCUCAUGAUUGAAGUAUUGCAGAUCAAACAAGGCAUGCUGAUGCACGAAUUAACAUUUCUGUCACUUGGGAAAGUCACAACAUCCUACGUUGAAAAUGGACUAGAAGAUACUGAUAAUAAUAACGGUUUUAUUCAAUAGCGCUGUACAGCUGAACACAUGACGCAUGGUGACACACGAAUAACAUUUCUAACACUUGGGACAUUAACAACAUCCUACGUUGAAAAUGGACUAGAAGAUGAUUGAAGUAUUGCAGAUCAAACAAGGCAUGCUGAUGCACGAAUUAACAUUUCUGUCACUUGGGAAAGUCACAACAUCCUACGUUGAAAAUGGACUAGAAGAUACUGAUAAUAAUAACGGUUUUAUUCAAUAGCGCUGUACAGCUGAACACAUGACGCAUGGUGACACACGAAUAACAUUUCUAACACUUGGGAAAUUAACAACAUCCUACGUUGAAAAUGGACUAGAAGAUGGUGAUAAUUUUAAUAGAUUUAUGCAAUAUUGAAGUACUGCAGAUCAAACAAGGCAUGCUGAUGCACGAAUUAACAUUUCUGUCACUUGGGAAAGUCACAACAUCCUACGUUGAAAAUGGACUAGAAGAUACUGAUAAUAAUAACGGUUUUAUUCAAUAGCGCUGUACAGCUGAACACAUGACGCAUGGUGACACACGAAUAACAUUUCUAACACUUGGGAAAUUAACAACAUCCUACGUUGAAAAUGGACUAGAAGAUGGUGAUAAUUUUAAUAGAUUUAUGCAAUAUUGAAGUACUGCUGAUCAAACAAGGCAUGCUGAUGCACGAAUUAACAUUUCUGUCACUUUGGAAUGUCACAACAUCUUACGUUGAAAAUGGACUAGAAGAUACUGAUAAUAAUAACGGUUUUAUUCAAUAGCGCUGUACAGCUGAACACAUGACGCAUGGUGACACACGAAUAACAUUUCAAUCACUUGGGAAAUUAACAACAUCCUACGUUGAAAAUGGACUAGAAGAUGAUUGAAGUACUGCAGAUCAAACAAGGCAUGCUGAUGCACGAAUUAACAUUUCUGUCACUUGGGAAAGUCACAACAUCCUACGUUGAAAAUGGACUAGAAGAUACUGAUAAUAAUAACGGUUUUAUUCAAUAGCGCUGUACAGCUGAACACAUGACGCAUGGUGACACACGAAUAACAUUUCAAUCACUUGGGAAAUUAACAACAUCCUACGUUGAAAAUGGACUAGAAGAUGAUUGAAGUACUGCAGAUCAAACAAGGCAUGCUGAUGCACGAAUUAACAUUUCUGUCACUUGGGAAAGUCACAACAUCCUACGUUGAAAAUGGACUAGAAGAUACUGAUAAUAAUAACGGUUUUAUUUAAUAUUGCUGUACAGCUGAUCACAUGAUGCAUGGCGACACACGAAUAAUAUUUCUAACACUUGGGAAAUUCAUAACAUCCCACGUUGGAAAUGGACUAGAAGAUGAUGAUAAUUUUAAUAGUUUUUUCAAUGUAUGUGUAAUUGGUAUUGAAUGUAAUUGAAAAUCAAUUAACACUAGUGUUAUAAUAAUUUAGUGUCAUGACA